AGGAAGACAAUUGGAACUGCUAAUUCCUCGCUCCAUACUUAAAAAUAUGGCUUCCUU
RNAcentral lists this transfer RNA (57 nucleotides) under Cavia aperea (Brazilian guinea pig). RNAcentral's name for it is "tRNA-Ser". The record is from RNAcentral. Lineage: Eukaryota; Metazoa; Chordata; Mammalia; Rodentia; Caviidae.